This 678-nucleotide ribosomal RNA is filed under the name Percina maculata (blackside darter). Its description in RNAcentral is "partial small subunit ribosomal RNA". It matches the Rfam family "Bacterial small subunit ribosomal RNA", at positions 539 to 1533 of the family's 1533-position model. The record is from RNAcentral. Lineage: Eukaryota; Metazoa; Chordata; Actinopteri; Perciformes; Percidae.
CCAAGUUGAUAAUUACCGGGCGUAAAGCGUGGUUAAGAUUUUUAUACAACUAAAGCCGAACCCCUUCAGAGCUGUUAUACGCACCCGAAGAUAAGAAGUUCAACCACGAAAGUGGCUUUAUAGCCCUGAACCCACGAAAGCUAAGAUACAAACUGGGAUUAGAUACCCCACUAUGCCUAGCCAUAAACAUUGGUAGUAUGUUACACCCACUACCCGCCUGGGUACUACGAGCAUCAGCUUGAAACCCAAAGGACUUGGCGGUGCUUUAGACCCCCCUAGAGGAGCCUGUUCUAGAACCGAUAACCCCCGUUCAACCUCACCUUCCCUUGUCUUCCCCGCCUAUAUACCGCCGUCGUCAGCUUACCCUGUGAAGGGUUAAUAGUAAGCAAAAUUGGUUCAACCUAAAACGUCAGGUCGAGGUGUAGCGUAUGGGGAGGGAAGAAAUGGGCUACAUUUCCUGCCACAGGAAAUACGAAUGAUGUGCUGAAACGUUCAUCUGAAGGAGGAUUUAGCAGUAAGCAGGAAAUAGAGCGUCCCGCUGAAAUUGGCCCUGAAGCGCGCACACACCGCCCGUCACUCUCCCCAAGCCUACAAACUUCAGUAAAUAAAACCUUACAAUCGCGAAGGGGAGGCAAGUCGUAACAUGGUAAGUGUACCGGAAGGUGCACUUGGAAAAAU